ACACUACUGAGGAGUCUUAUACUAGGACGAAACGACCGUCCGGUGU
This 46-nucleotide non-coding RNA is filed under the name Schistosoma margrebowiei. The record is from RNAcentral. Lineage: Eukaryota; Metazoa; Platyhelminthes; Trematoda; Strigeidida; Schistosomatidae.